UACGUAGGGAGCAAGCGUUGUUCGGAUUUACUGGGCGUAAAGGGCGCGUAGGCGGCCUGUCAAGUCCACUGUGAAAUCUCCGGGCUUAACUCGGAACGGUCAGUUGAUACUGUCAGGCUAGAGUGCAGAAGGGGCAAUCGGAAUUCUUGGUGUAGCGGUGAAAUGCGUAGAUAUCAAGAGGAACACCUGAGGUGAAGACGGGUUGCUGGGCUGACACUGACGCUGAGGCGCGAAAGCCAGGGGAGCAAACGGG
This 253-nucleotide ribosomal RNA is filed under the name uncultured bacterium. RNAcentral's name for it is "partial 16S ribosomal RNA". It matches the Rfam family "Bacterial small subunit ribosomal RNA", at positions 524 to 776 of the family's 1533-position model. The record is from RNAcentral.